This 496-nucleotide ribosomal RNA is filed under the name uncultured bacterium. Its description in RNAcentral is "partial 16S ribosomal RNA". It matches the Rfam family "Bacterial small subunit ribosomal RNA", at positions 28 to 506 of the family's 1533-position model. The record is from RNAcentral.
GAUGAACGCUGGCGGCGUGCCUAAUACAUGCAAGUCGAGCGAACAGAUGAGGAGCUUGCUCCUCUGACGUUAGCGGCGGACGGGUGAGUAACACGUGGAUAACCUACCUAUAAGACUGGGAUAACUUCGGGAAACCGGAGCUAAUACCGGAUAAUAUAUUGAACCGCAUGGUUCAAUAGUGAAAGACGGUUUUGCUGUCACUUAUAGAUGGAUCCGCGCCGCAUUAGCUAGUUGGUAAGGUAACGGCUUACCAAGGCAACGAUGCGUAGCCGACCUGAGAGGGUGAUCGGCCACACUGGAACUGAGACACGGUCCAGACUCCUACGGGAGGCGGCAGUAGGGAAUCUUCCGCAAUGGGCGAAAGCUUGACGGAGCAACGCCGCGUGAGUGAUGAAGGUCUUCGGAUCGUAAAACUCUGUUAUUAGGGAAGAACAAAUGUGUAAGUAACUAUGCACGUCUUGACGGUACCUAAUCAGAAAGCCACGGCUAACUACGU